AGAAAUAAGCCCAAUUUAAGUUUACAACAAAAAAUAAAUGAAAUGGUCCAAAACUUUAUCUAUUUUCCCCUAUUUAGUCCCAUCACAGAUAAAAACAAUCUCUCCAAUAUCUUUGCUAGUAAAAAAGCAUUAAAACAUCAGCUAAUUAUGGCCCAAUCCAAUUUUUAUUCUUAUUCUUUGGUCUAUCAUACUCUAACUAUGGUCUCUCUCUCUUAGACCUUUAAUCUAACACUUUGCAGACACCUGUACUUUUACUCUCAUCUCUCUUAAAUCUUUACUCUAUCUCUUGUAGAACGUGAAAUCAAACCCCACGCCUGAAAAACUAAAUAUCCCCUCUCCAUCCAAUUUCCUUGUCACUGGCCGCAAAUCUAGUGGGCAAGAUGUCAAUAAUAAGGUCAUACAACAUAUC
This 409-nucleotide long non-coding RNA is filed under the name Eucalyptus grandis. RNAcentral's name for it is "long non-coding RNA (EGRA_LNC007472)". The record is from RNAcentral. Lineage: Eukaryota; Viridiplantae; Streptophyta; Magnoliopsida; Myrtales; Myrtaceae.